This 492-nucleotide ribosomal RNA is filed under the name uncultured bacterium. RNAcentral's name for it is "bacterial SSU rRNA". It matches the Rfam family "Bacterial small subunit ribosomal RNA", at positions 28 to 517 of the family's 1533-position model. The record is from RNAcentral.
GAUGAACGCUGGCGGCGUGCUUAACACAUGCAAGUCGAACGGUGAAAGCGGAGCUUGCUCUGCUGGAUCAGUGGCGAACGGGUGAGUAACACGUGAGCAACCUGCCCCGGACUCUGGGAUAACAGUUGGAAACAGCUGCUAAUACCGGAUACGAGCUGCGAAGGCAUCUUCAGCAGCUGGAAAGAACUUCGGUCUGGGAUGGGCUCGCGGCCUAUCAGCUUGUUGGUGAGGUAAUGGCUCACCAAGGCGUCGACGGGUAGCCGGCCUGAGAGGGUGACCGGCCACACUGGGACUGAGACACGGCCCAGACUCCUACGGGAGGCAGCAGUGGGGAAUAUUGGACAAUGGGCGGAAGCCUGAUCCAGCAACGCCGCGUGAGGGAUGACGGCCUUCGGGUUGUAAACCUCUUUCAUCUAUGACGAAGGCUCUGCUUUUUGGUGGGGUUGACGGUAAUGGGAGAAGAAGCACCGGCCAACUACGUGCCAGCAGCCG